GGAGCCGCAGCUAGGCCCAGGCGCCGCGCCGCUGUUCCCAGGGACCUUGGAAGCAUAGAACAUGGUUCUGCUUUUCUGCCACUAACGUUCGCGGUCCUCCUCGGCUCCUCGCCGGUCUUCGUUGCCGUCCCUGAUCCGUUCUCGCUGUCCUGCUCCGGACUCACAGGUCAGUCCACGCCGCUCUACUUCUGUACUUCCCCGCCUUCGAGUUCGUGGCAAGGUUGUCUUCAUCUAUUCUAUGCUUGAUCUGCAGCCCUUGUUUUGCUCGUCGUAGAAUCUCUGGUGAUGGCGGGAGCUACGCCCAAGACCUCAUGGUUCUCACUGGACUGGCCAGUGUAUGAGAUUCGUGAGACGUUUUCUCCUAUCUCGGGGAAAAUCAGUACGC
This 385-nucleotide long non-coding RNA is filed under the name Panicum hallii. Its description in RNAcentral is "long non-coding RNA (PHAL_LNC000619)". Lineage: Eukaryota; Viridiplantae; Streptophyta; Magnoliopsida; Poales; Poaceae. The record is from RNAcentral.